CUACGGGAGGCACCAGUGAGGAAUAUUGCACAAUGGGGGGGACCCUGAUGCAGCAACGCCGCGUGGAGGAUGACGCAUUUCGGUGUGUAAACUCCUUUUAUAUGUCAAGAAAAUGACGGUAGCAUAUGAAUAAGCACCGGCUAACUCCGUGCCAGCAGCGCGCGGUAAUACGGAGGGUGCAAGCGUUACUCGGAAUCACUGGGCGUAAAGGAAGCGUAGGCGGGUUGGAAAGUCAGGUGUGAAAUCCUACAGCUUAACUGUAGAACUGCACUUGAAACUUCUAAUCUAGAGUAUGGGAGGGGGAGAUGGAAUUAGUGGUGUAGGGGUAAAAUCCGUAGAUAUCACUAGGAAUACCUAAAGCGAAGGCGAUCUCCUGGAACAUUACUGACGCUAAGGCGUGAAAGCGUGGGGAGCAAACAGGAUUAGAUACCCGUGUAGUC
RNAcentral lists this ribosomal RNA (440 nucleotides) under uncultured bacterium. RNAcentral describes it as "partial 16S ribosomal RNA". It matches the Rfam family "Bacterial small subunit ribosomal RNA", at positions 339 to 795 of the family's 1533-position model. The record is from RNAcentral.